RNAcentral lists this unclassified non-coding RNA (278 nucleotides) under Portunus trituberculatus (swimming crab). RNAcentral describes it as "potassium voltage-gated channel subfamily KQT member 1-like, transcript variant X2". The record is from RNAcentral. Lineage: Eukaryota; Metazoa; Arthropoda; Malacostraca; Decapoda; Portunidae.
CCUGUGUCCGGUUAUCGGUGGUGUUCGUGUGUUGGACAUUUACAAGCGUGUGUACUUGUUUGCUGAGGAGAUGGAGCUACCAUCAGGUUGACCUGCAGUGUCGAUCACAGAUGUUGUGGUAGAGACAUCAUUUUCGCGGCCUCGUGUCCUCGGUGAUGGAGGCUCGCACGCUUUGGGAAGGACGGUAUGCCAUGAAGGAGAGGAAGACCGUCAAGACAACCUUUCAAGGACGCGUCUACAACUUUCUGGAAAGACCCACGGGAUGGAAAUGUUUUCUC